AUACGGAGGAUGCGAGCGUUAUCCGGAUUUAUUGGGUUUAAAGGGAGCGUAGGUGGGAUAUUAAGUCAGCUGUGAAAGUUUGGGGCUCAACCUUAAAAUUGCAGUUGAUACUGGUUUCCUUGAGUACGGUACAGGUGGGCGGAAUUCGUGGUGUAGCGGUGAAAUGCUUAGAUAUCACGAAGAACUUCGAUUGCGAAGGCAGCCUGCUGGACUGUAACUGACGCUGAUGCUCGAAAGUGUGGGUAUCAAACAGGAUUAGAUACCCUGGUAGGCCACACAGUAAACGAUGAAUACUCGCUGUUUGCGAUAUACAGUAAGCGGCCAAGCGAAAGCGUUAAGUAUUCCACCUGGGGAGUACGCCGGCAACGGUGAAACUCAAAGGAAUUGACGGGG
Molecule: ribosomal RNA, 393 nt
Filed under: uncultured bacterium
Lineage: Bacteria
Description: partial 16S ribosomal RNA
Rfam family: Bacterial small subunit ribosomal RNA
Source: RNAcentral